UGUAGUUCCCGUCACUAAAAGAACGUGCGAAACUGCGCCACUUCCCUGAGGAAAGGUCCCUCCUACCGAAAGAAAAAUAAAAUGUAAACACUGCCUAAUCUUUGCGGACCCUCAGGUCUUCUUGACCCUAUUGCCAGGGCACUCACCUCCUGUCGCAGCCCAGGCCUAUCAGCUAGACAAGCAAUCCCCGAAUGGGAAACGCAUCCUUCUUAUCUUCUGUGCAAGCUGUGUGUGCUCAGGCUGGAGGGCAGAAGGUUCAUCCGAGAACUGAAGCCCUGGGCUGGGCAGCGCCUGUUUCUGUCCUGCUUCGCUCUCAGUCGGCUCCAACACCUGGUCCAUAGGAGGCACUCAACGGUGCGUGUGCAAUUACAUGGCAAUGACAUGAGAGUGCCCCUUAUAAACAGCCGUUUGUCCUCUCCACUUAGCUGGAGCAGGCUCAUCCCGGAAGGCUAAGCCCACAGCUUUGUUCUGGAGAGUUGGCCGGCGGGUCCUGUCCGUGGGAACGCAGCCACGUCCCACACGGGGCAGAAGUCUGGUGCCACAGUGGUCUUGGACACGUGAACAAACACACACACACCACACACACCUUACUUUUCAGUGGUUUUCUCCUCGAUAGGUCAGUGUGAGGUCUUGCCCUUGUGAGCGUCUGGCUCUGUGCGGGGCUGACAGCGCUGGUGUUGUGUAUACAGACGCUCGAAGGACAGGCAGUGAUGGGUGUAUUGCAGCCGUGGGGCCCAAGUCCACGGGAACCCGGGAUUAUAAUCGACAAGCUGGAAUUCUAACAGGGCGUUGAUAGGUUUUUAAAUCGUUUGUUCCUCUUGGAAUUAUUAGUCUCUCUGAUCUGAGGUGACAGCCUGUGUGCUGACCAAACCCUCGUUACGACUCAGUUACUUUCCAGUAUCUGGAUAGACCAGCAUUUACAGCCCGGAGCUUCCAGUGUAGCUGGAUCAUACGGUAGUUCUGUUUAAUCUUUUGAGGAACGCCCGAACUGUUUCCUUUAGUCUUAGAACGUGAGUGGAGAAAACAGAUGUAUUCUACGGUUUCUUUAUCCCUUUGGGAUGUCUGGACAUCAGUGCCAUCAGUUUCUCCAAAUGAGGGUCACUUGCUUGUCAUUAGCCAGAGGUGGGCAAGCCCCGCCACUGCCUGUUCUUGUCAAUAAAGUUUUAUUGGAACACAGC
Long non-coding RNA from Leptonychotes weddellii (Weddell seal), 1178 nucleotides. RefSeq lists it as uncharacterized. The record is from RefSeq and is a predicted model, not a curated record. NCBI's taxonomy places the organism in Eukaryota, Metazoa, Chordata, Mammalia, Carnivora, Phocidae.